GCAGCACUCACGGGUCCCAGUUCUCAGGCCCCAAGGACUCAGAGCAGCAAAGGAUAUGUGACACAAGCAGGGCUGAACUGGACACCAGACUUUCUUUGGGGUUGUAAAAGGAGAAGUGUGACUCCACUGCCAAGGGUGAGCACUCUUGUCUUAUGCUACCCUUUAUUCUUGAACCUUGGGGCAGCCUGUGUCUCCCUUCCCUAAACGUCAUCUGUUCCAUUUUUCCAGUCUUCCAGACCUGGUCCUUGGACUGGAGACCCUGCCUAUUUUGUGGCUUUCUCUUCAAAUCCACCUCUUCCUUCCUCCAUGACUUAUAAGUCAUCAUCUCUGCUGGUUUCUGAAAUGAGAUAUGCUUCUUGGGGUCUUCAGUGAAGAGGAAUAGCAAGUGAAAGGAGGAUGGUGGCAGGGUACAUGAAACCCUACCAGGCUUCUAGGCUUCCCUUGCAUGGCAGCCAGCCUCUAAGUUGGCCCCCAACCAUCCCUGCCUUCUUCUAUUCACACCCUUGUGUGGUUCCUUCCCACAUUGAAUAGGCCUGACUUGUGUAACCACUACGCUAUUGAAGAAAUGAGAGUUUGACUUCUGAGGGUAAGUC
This 593-nucleotide small RNA is filed under the name Pongo abelii (Sumatran orangutan). RNAcentral describes it as "processed transcript". Lineage: Eukaryota; Metazoa; Chordata; Mammalia; Primates; Hominidae. The record is from RNAcentral.